RNAcentral lists this ribosomal RNA (497 nucleotides) under uncultured bacterium. RNAcentral describes it as "partial 16S ribosomal RNA". It matches the Rfam family "Bacterial small subunit ribosomal RNA", at positions 28 to 507 of the family's 1533-position model. The record is from RNAcentral.
GAUGAACGCUGGCGGCGUGCCUAAUACAUGCAAGUCGAGCGAACAGACGAGGAGCUUGCUCCUUUGACGUUAGCGGCGGACGGGUGAGUAACACGUAGGUAACCUACCUAUAAGACUGGGAUAACUUCGGGAAACCCGAGCUAAUACCGGAUAAUAUUUCGAACCGCAUGGUUCGAUAGUGAAAGAUGGCUUUGCUAUCACUUAUAGAUGGACCUGCGCCGUAUUAGCUAGUUGGUAAGGUAACGGCUUACCAAGGCAACGAUACGUAGCCGACCUGAGAGGGUGAUCGGCCACACUGGAACUGAGACACGGUCCAGACUCCUACGGGAGGCAGCAGUAGGGAAUCUUCCGCAAUGGGCGAAAGCCUGACGGAGCAACGCCGCGUGAGUGAUGAAGGUCUUCUGAUCGUAAAACUCUGUUAUUAGGGAAGAACAAACGUGUAAGUAACUGUGCACGUCUUGACGGUACCUAAUCAGAAAGCCACGGCUAACUACGUG